This is a non-coding RNA of Drosophila melanogaster (fruit fly), 1321 nucleotides long. The record is from Ensembl. Lineage: Eukaryota; Metazoa; Arthropoda; Insecta; Diptera; Drosophilidae.
UAAUUUGUCUUUGCCAAAUGGCUGGCCAUAAAUUUCAAGUUAAUAAAACGAGUUUUGCCCUCUUCUAAUAACGGAAAUUUGUCACACGCCAUCCUGACAGUUCUGUGUCACCGGAAGUAUGUAAGUCCUGUGAUCCCAUCCAUCCCUCUGCCGCAAAAUAAAACUGGCAAGUGCCGCUGAUGACAUUGUGGCCAACUUUUGCCAGGGAAAAUUAUGCCCAAAGUUUUUCCACCCAACCCUCCACAUACAUACAUAGAUUGAUGGAAAACUGGUAGGGUUAAUCAAUGGCCAGGCCGCACGCACCGAACAGCUCGGAAUUCGAUUAGAGGCGAUGUCAGCAAGGCGCUCGCUCGCCUCAAGUGUCACUUGCAAUUACCCAGGGGCGCGGGCUGGAAGGGGUCCAAAGUGCAUUCAAAUUGGCUUAAACUAAGAACGUUAAGCGUGCAGCUGUCUAAUUGUAUUUGCCACCAGCGCCUUUCCGCCAACCCUUUGGCGCCCCAAAAGUAAUGUGAAAGUGCUAGGGAACUUCAAGAUUUAUUAGCAUCAAGAUUAAAGCAUUAAAAAUUUGCAGACUGUUUUUGCCUCACGCAGACAUUACGGGCAAAAUUUAGUGGGUGGUUGGGGGGCGUGGCAGCUGCCCUCUCAUUUUUUGGUCGAGAAGGGGGUAAGGGGAUGGCCGGAGCUGCCGUGGAAAGUGAGUGCAAUUUUCCUUCGCUGGUCUACAUCAUCAAUUUAGCCUUCUAACCACUUCUCCAUUUGGUAUACCCUGUAAAAUAGAUGAUGAUUUAGUAUGUUUGCAAUCGAAAGUUUAAUAAAUUAAUAAUUAAGUAAAUAAGUCUAAUUCACUGAAUUAUGAAGAGCAGUAUUUUUGUUUUUUGUAGUUAUUCUGCUUGGAAGCAGAACAUUCCUGCUAUUUAAUAUAAAUCACUUAAAAGGGUAUUGCACAAUUCGAUGACCCUAAUAUCUGGUGUUACGCCCGCUGUUGUUGUUGCGGUUUCAUGGGCAUGAGGCUGCCGAUGCGGAUGAGGAUUCGGAUGAAGCUGCUCCUGCUUUUGCUUUCCCAUCGCUGCUGGCUGUUUCCGCAGCAGGAGUGGCGCAAAAAUAUCAGGCACAACAACAUCGCCUCGGAUGGCAGCAACAACUAUAGCCCGUUUCAUUGCGCACUUUGUCGGUCAAAACUUUCGACAUUAGCACUUAAUUUACUGGCCCAACUUAAUGAAGUCUACACUUGGCUAAUUUACGCGAAAAGCUUCAGCUACUUAAGAGGAACAUUCAUCGCGGCCCAAGCCCCAUAACCUCCACUCUGGUUAAAGUUUUCCAU